UUGAUUUUUGUACAUUCAGUAUAUUGCAUCCCGCUAGGGACGACUUUGUGUUUGUACAGGGUUUGUAAAAUGGAGGUCGAUAGACGGGGGGUUUGGGAGAUUGGGGACCGACAGGUGAGGGUUACCCCUCCCUGAAGCGCCCAGUUUUUAAUCUCUUUAAUGAUCCUUCCGCAGGUUCACCUACGGAAA
Molecule: unclassified non-coding RNA, 189 nt
Filed under: uncultured fungus
Lineage: Eukaryota; Fungi
Description: sequence contains ITS1
Source: RNAcentral